GACGAACGCUGGCGGCGUGCUUAACACAUGCAAGUCGAACGGAAAGGCGCUGCUUUUGCGGGGUGCUCGAGUGGCGAACGGGUGAGUAACACGUGAGUAACCUGCCCUUGACUGUGGGAUAACUUCAGGAAACUGGGGCUAAUACCGGAUAGGAGCUCCUGCUGCAUGGUGGGGGUUGGAAAGUUUCGGCGGUUGGGGAUGGACUAGCGGCUUAUCAGCUUGUUGGUGGGGUAGUGGCUUACCAAGGCUUUGACGGGUAGCCGGCCUGAGAGGGUGAACGGCCACCUUGGGCCUAAGAGACGGCGCAGACGCCUACGGGAGGCAGCAGUGGGGAAUAUUGCACAGUGGGCGGGAGCCUGAUGCGACAGCCCCGCGUGCGGGAUACCGGCCUUCGAGUUGUGAACCUAUGUGGCCUGUACCGAGGCGUGAGUGACGGUAAUGAGUAAGGAAGCACCGGCUAACUACGUG
Molecule: ribosomal RNA, 468 nt
Filed under: uncultured bacterium
Lineage: Bacteria
Description: partial 16S ribosomal RNA
Rfam family: Bacterial small subunit ribosomal RNA
Source: RNAcentral